GAUGAACGCUGGCGGCGUGCCUAAUACAUGCAAGUCGAACGGAGAGUGUUAGCUUCGGUUGAUAACUCUUAGCGGCGGACGGGUGAGUAACGCGUGGGCAACCUGCCUUACAGAGGGGGAUAACAGUGCGAAAGCACUGCUAAUACCGCAUGACAUUCAUUGGUCGCAUGACCGAUGAAUCAAAGGAGAAAUCCGCUGUAAGAUGGGCCCGCGUCUGAUUAGCUAGUUGGUGAGGUAAAAGCUUACCAAGGCGACGAUCAGUAGCCGAUCUGAGAGGAUGACCGGCCACACUGGAACUGAGACACGGUCCAGACUCCUACGGGAGGCAGCAGUGGGGAAUAUUGCACAAUGGGGGAAACCCUGAUGCAGCAACGCCGCGUGAAGGAUGAAGGUCUUCGGAUUGUAAACUUCUUUGAUGAGGGACGAAUAAAUGACGGUACCUCAAAAACAAGCCACGGCUAACUACGUG
This 469-nucleotide ribosomal RNA is filed under the name uncultured bacterium. RNAcentral describes it as "bacterial SSU rRNA". It matches the Rfam family "Bacterial small subunit ribosomal RNA", at positions 28 to 507 of the family's 1533-position model. The record is from RNAcentral.